Molecule: long non-coding RNA, 865 nt
Organism: Raphanus sativus (radish)
Lineage: Eukaryota; Viridiplantae; Streptophyta; Magnoliopsida; Brassicales; Brassicaceae
Exons: 3
Source: RefSeq, a predicted model, not a curated record
AAAAAAAAAAAAAAUCUUUAGCCAAAAAUGUAAGUUAUCGAUUUCCCCUUUCUCAUUAUCACUCCACGAUUUCCCUUUUUCUCAUUAGAUAUGAAUCCUAAAUCCUAAAUUGUCAAUUCUUCAACAAUCGAGGUUCAUUCGUUUUGUGACUUGAAGACUCCUUGAUUCUGACUUCGUAGCACCGUUUUCUAUCACUAAAACCUCCAGAUUCACAAAAGAGAAAGUGAAUUAGAGAAGCAAAUCCGACGACCCAAGAUUACGUUUCUGAAAUUGAGAAUUGCAUCUAAUAGAGAUGAUUAAAUCAAACUGUGCAAAAACAUAUACAGCAAGGUUGUAUCUGACGGGACCAUUUGGUUUUGAUGAUGGAGCUUCUUUGAAUGAUGCCAUGCAAGAUAGCUUUAGGAGGCCGCUACUCCAGGAAUUUAUUCAAAAGGCAUGGUGAUCUUUGACACAUCAGAAGACCAAGAUGCAAAUGCCUUGAGUGAUUUUCUUGUUACAAAAUUUGUUCCCGGAACGCAGCUCGAUAGAGAGAAAGAAGAGGGAGAACGAGGAGCAAGAAACUGUGUUGUUAAAAUAAGAAACCAGAAGCUCCUCUCUCCGGUUUGAUAGCUGAGUUAUGUUCCGUGAUUGAGCGACUGACAAUAAGAUUUAGAGAGAGUUUUGAGCCAGCAGAACUACCUGGAUCUGUUUUAUAGUGAGCUCUCUAUUACGUCACAUAUGCAGAGUGAUAUAUUGUUUGUGCACUUAUACGAAAUAGAAACUGUUUAUUAUUACAGGCAAGAUUGAAAACACUGACAGAACACAAAGAAAAAGAAAAAAGUUUGCAUAAAGUUAUAAAUCACAGAGCUUUUUUCUUGUUUUGUUU